Long non-coding RNA from Passer domesticus (house sparrow), 2937 nucleotides. RefSeq lists it as uncharacterized. NCBI's taxonomy places the organism in Eukaryota, Metazoa, Chordata, Aves, Passeriformes, Passeridae. The record is from RefSeq and is a predicted model, not a curated record. The transcript is spliced from 3 exons.
AACACUGUAUCUUAUCUCCUCUCUUCUGGACCUGCUGCUGCUGCUGUUUCCUCCCCACUCGGCGCACACGAGGACACCACCCCUAUGGCAUGCAAGCUUCCUGGCGGCUCGGGUGGCAUUGCAAAGCUCAUUUCUGCAGGCAGCAACAUGAUUACGGCGAAGGCAGAAGCUGCUUCAGAUUUUGGUGAACAUGUAAGUCAGACCAACGCACGGAGAAUUUCAGGCAAGUAAAAUGAAAGCCAAGAUGCCUCUGGUUGAGGUUCAUUGCCUUUCAUUACCACCCACUCACAGGUUGAUGCAACUGCAGCAGUUUCAAGGUGUCAAUAGACCCUGGGGAGCCACCUACAAGCUGUCAGUCUUGCACACCCCUGAGAUGUCUAUGUCAGCAGAGGUUGGUAAUCCAUCACACUCUUUCUGGUAAUAGCUACAAGAGGUGCUGGGAAACCUGCAGGCUCAUAAAUGUAAGCACGUGCUGAAAGUCUCUGAGCUUGCAGACUUUUGGAAUGAGUGCUGAGCCAUCACAGUUGGGUUUUGUGUGGUAGCAGAAAAGGCCUGGUCACAGGGGGAGUCCCAGCCGAUAGCCAGGACAAGUGUAUGUAUUUCUCUUCCAAAUAUGAUGCCAUUCUCAAACAUGGACAGAUGCGAGGACACAAAGGCAGCAGCUGUUCUCCCUAUCGUCUAUGUGGAAAGCAUUAGUUUAUGAUUUCAAUCACCACUCACCAAGUGAAAGAAUAACAGCAUCAUUGCCCAAACCAGUAUAAGCCCACAUUCCUGCCACCAGAUCCACAGAGUCGUGCUUUUAUGCUGAAGCAGCCACAAAGGAUUUUCCAAAGUCUUGUUAUGAACUCAGGGAUCUACUUCAGCCAGCACAACGAGUAGCUGAAGGAUAUCAUAGAGGCCAAGAUGGAAAUGGACAACCUGUAGGAACAAAACUCUGGGAUUUUGCUUGAUUUUUCUCCCAUGUCAGCAGACCAACCUCUACUAGGCAGAUCCAACUGGCAUCAAAUGAGCCAAACAGACUGCAGAAGAAGCACUUUAAAUAUAAUUCUUAAAAAUUCCACUUCAUUUCAACAUGAAGGAAACCUCACAUUUCUAGAGUGGAUUAAGAACAAUUUGCAACAAGGACGUCUGCAGUGUAUACUGUACAAAUCAGUGGGGGGAAAAAUACAAAUCUUUAUAGUGACUUAAAAAAUCUUGAGAACUGCCAGUUUACCCCACUCACUUUUUCUGUUUCUAACGGAGAGUAUAUGCUUGUCUGUAAUUCAUUUUCAUAUCAAAAAGGAAAAUCAAAUUAUACACUGAAAAAAAUUAUGAAUUGCAAAAAAUAAUUUCCCCUAACUGUUAAGUGAAAAGGAAAUUCUAAAGUAUCAAAGUUUCAUUAUUUUUUUCCUAUAAUAAAGAAAAGACUUUGUUUCAUGGUAGCAAAAUUAAAAACAAUUACAGUGUGAUGGUCCUGCUUCUGUUUUUUUUAACUUUAAUUUUGUAGAAUACCCAUAAUUUUGUUCAGGAAAAAAUAAAGUGAGGGAGAAGGAGAAAAGAAAAUGCAAAAGAAUUUAAAGUAGAAGAUUGUGUAACCUGAGAUUGCAGUCUUCCUAUGGAGAAGAGACUAAAAAAUUAUUCCUGCAGAAAAGAUGGUACUUGAAAUAUUUUGAAUAACCUGCAGUAUUAAAAGAUUUAAAAGUAUUGCUCCUGUACUGCAAGAACUUCAUGCCUGGCAGGUGAACACUGGAUUACCCAACCUAGCUGUUAGAUUUCAGAUGUGAAAAUGAGUGUGCAGACAACUCACGUGCCUAGUUACAGUUCACAUCCGGUAUGCAUUGAGAGAAAAAUCCUUUCUUCUAAUGAAUAUGUAAACUGACUAUGUAAUUUUUGGUAAUUGGUGCUUAUCCUUGCUUUCAUUUGGACACUUGAUCAUAACUGACAAACUGGCAGCUGAGGAAGAAGAAAACUCUAAGCUGUAAGAAUAAUAAACAGAGCAGAGUGGGAGAUGGAAAAAACCUCCAGCAUACAUGGGAGGAAAACUUCAGCAAAUGGGGCUAAGCCAUAAAUGGAUUUUUAAAAAAUGGUUUGGUGUUUCUACAACUUAAAAUGAAUUUUUUUUUUUAAAUUAACAACAUUAAAUGUGUGUCAAUUUUCUGCCUUACCUGUUCAACCAAAAUAGUAUGUGAAGAGAAUAUUAAGAAAAUUAUAUUUAAUACAAAAAGUUUUGUUUAAAAACAGUUUCAUAUUAAGCACCUAAAGAGAAAAUUUAAAAAACAGAUGCACUCAUUCUGUUUGAGCCUAACCAUUUCCACAACUACUAAAUUGACUCAUGUGAAGCUUUACUCUGGAGGUCAAUAUCAAGGACUGAAAAGUGUGCACCUACAAACAAAUUCUACUUUCUCAUCCAAAAUGCCUUGUUUCAGAGCCAUGUGGCUUUACUAAUAGUGUCUACAUAGACUCACCUGCUGUCUGUUGUCCACACACAAACAUCAAAAAAAAUUCUCCAAGGUCAUUUGGGGCUGAGAAGAAGGUCAGGCUUGCUCACUCCUUAAUACCUUUGAAGCUGCUAAUGUGACUGAGAUGGAUGAGAGUGAGUAGGAUACAAGCCUGUCUGUCAGCAAAACACAUGAUCUCAGCAAUAUAAAGUGUAAUUGAUCUAAAUCUCAGCUACAGCAGUUAACAGACUCCAAGAGGGAGAGAAGACACUUGGACCACAGGGUUUGUAUUUGACUAUGUUCUUACUUUGCAAAAUAGACAUUGCUCAGCAGCCUGGAUUUUUGCAGCUUGCUUCUAGUGGUUACUACAGAUAGUAUUUUCACACCAGCACUUUCAUUUUUACAUCCAGAGGCUCUUUACUGAGUCUCUAUCAAAGUCCAAUUUAUUACCUGAUAAAUUAUCAGCUAAAACCCUACCACUUUUCUAUAAGAAAAAUUUUUAAGAGACUAGAAAGUAACA